Molecule: ribosomal RNA, 465 nt
Filed under: Vreelandella stevensii
Lineage: Bacteria; Pseudomonadati; Pseudomonadota; Gammaproteobacteria; Oceanospirillales; Halomonadaceae
Description: partial 16S ribosomal RNA
Rfam family: Bacterial small subunit ribosomal RNA
Source: RNAcentral
CCUACGGUGGGCUGCAGUGGGGAAUAUUGGACAAUGGGCGAAAGCCUGAUCCAGCCAUGCCGCGUGUGUGAAGAAGGCCUUCGGGUUGUAAAGCACUUUCAGUGGGGAAGAAAGCCUUGGGGCUAAUACCCUCGAGGAAGGACAUCACCCACAGAAGAAGCACCGGCUAACUCCGUGCCAGCAGCCGCGGUAAUACGGAGGGUGCGAGCGUUAAUCGGAAUUACUGGGCGUAAAGCGCGCGUAGGCGGUCUGAUAAGCCGGUUGUGAAAGCCCCGGGCUCAACCUGGGAACGGCAUCCGGAACUGUCAGGCUAGAGUGCAGGAGAGGAAGGUAGAAUUCCCGGUGUAGCGGUGAAAUGCGUAGAGAUCGGGAGGAAUACCAGUGGCGAAGGCGGCCUUCUGGACUGACACUGACGCUGAGGUGCGAAAGCGUGGGUAGCAAACAGGAUUAGAUACCCCUGUAGUC